This is a long non-coding RNA of Rhipicephalus sanguineus (brown dog tick), 1455 nucleotides long. RefSeq lists it as uncharacterized. Lineage: Eukaryota; Metazoa; Arthropoda; Arachnida; Ixodida; Ixodidae. The transcript has 5 exons. The record is from RefSeq and is a predicted model, not a curated record.
CGUCGUGCCGAGUUUUGUUCAUACGGUCGACUUUUACCGCGCUGCCUCGCAUUGUGUGUUGUAUGUUGUGGUUACUGACGUUAAGCGCAAGUUCGUCACGCAGUGUUAUACGCGGUAGCUGGUAAAUAGUCACCAGAUGCCGGCCGUGCGACUCCAGUCUGCGACUGCUUUGUUCAGUGUGACCGACGGAGGCGAUUCAUAGUUUUGAAAAACACGUUCUUCAAACGUUUCCGCACGUCAGUAGGGUUCCUUGAUGCGCGUUUUGUCCGCUCACAUCGAGGCACAGUACACGGCAGUGAGUAGCAGCGCUGCAAUCCUUUCUCGACGACGCGUUCUGUGGCCUUGGAAAAUGCCUUGACGCUCGGGGACGGCCGGUAGCUCGGCGAUUCCUCGCUUGGCGCACCAUUGAAAACCGGCGGUCAUCCAGCAGUGUACGCUGCCAGCGUAUUUUUAUUGCCAGAGGUAGCAAACAGCAGUGCCACGACAAACAGUGGAGUGCUGACCAUGCAGUCCAGAAGGUGGCUGAGGCAAGUAUGCUAUAGGAGGUGCUUAUUCAGGCAGAAGAAAUAAGCUUCUGUAGCCAAUGUAAAGGAAGCAUCUUCAAAAAGCAGUGCUACAAGGAUGUGAGCAGCAGUUUCCCUUCAACGAACGGGUCAAAUUCAUGGAAGCCACAUGCCUGCUGCUUCUGGCCUACACAAACAUGCAGCCACCAAAGACAUUCUACACGAACUUGCCCAAAGGCAGAAGGAAGGCACGCACAGAUGGACGCACAGAAAUCAUGGGGCUGCCGUAGAAGCUGUGAAUGAGCAUUAACCUACGUACAGAAAGGAGCGAAGUGGAGCUGUCCAUGGGCCGUGCACACAGUUUCAUAAGCAGGCUUGCAACACUUUUGACAAAUAUGUUCCUGAAUACACCUGCCGAAGUGGCAUUUAAAGGAGCAUGUAGUAGUGUACUUCACUGUUUAUUUGGCAUGAAGCAGCAGGUAUGCUUCCGUCAUCAGCAAGUUCACACAGUACAGUGCAUCUACACAUGGCAUGCUACCCCCACAUCUACCAGCCCGGGAUGUGUAGCUUGAUUGUAAAAUGUUUACUUUGACUUAACACAACAAUUAUUAACAAAAUGACAGGAAAGUUUCGCCACCUAUGCAGGCGACAUUCUCAGUAUACGCUGGCAAAUAUAAGCGGAGUUUGACCAGUCCAUUAGUCGCACAUUUCCUUGUAAACAUCUCGUAGAGGGCCACUGUUGUUGUUGCAAGCCAAUGCGCCGUGAUGAAUGAACCAUGAUUCCAAGAUUUUUUUUUCCUCCGACCUUUGUGCACAAGGUAGCAUCGUCGAAUUGAUUAGGUCAAAGUUAUGCCUUGUCAUUCAGCAGCGUUCAACAAGCUCCGUCUUAGAGCACGUUGCAUGGGUGGUUUUCGCAACAUCCUCUUUGUGUUCUUUAACCUUCGAUCGCCUU